GACGAACGCUGGCGGCGUGCUUAACACAUGCAAGUCGAACGGUGAAGCGCCUUCCUUUUUGGUGGGUGUGGAUGAGUGGCGAACGGGUGAGUAACACGUGAGUAACCUGCCCCCUUCUUCUGGAUAACCGCAUGAAAGUGUGGCUAAUACGGGAUAUUCUGGGUCUGUCGCAUGAUGGGUCUGGGAAAGAUAUUGUUUCGGUGGGGGAUGGGCUCGCGGCCUAUCAGCUUGUUGGUGGGGUGAUGGCCUACCAAGGCGGUGACGGGUAGCCGGCCUGAGAGGGUGGACGGUCACACUGGGGCUGAGACACGGCCCAGACUCCUACGGGGGGCAGGCGUGGGGAAUAUUGCACAAUGGGCGCAAGGCUGAUGCAGCGACGCCGCGGUAGGGAUGGAGGCCUUCGGGUUGUGAACCUCUUUCGCCAGUGAAGCAGGGCUGCCUCGUUUGUGGGUGGGUUGACGGUAGCUGGAUAAGAAGCGCCGGCUAACUACGUG
RNAcentral lists this ribosomal RNA (494 nucleotides) under uncultured bacterium. RNAcentral's name for it is "partial 16S ribosomal RNA". It matches the Rfam family "Bacterial small subunit ribosomal RNA", at positions 28 to 507 of the family's 1533-position model. The record is from RNAcentral.